UAAGCCCAACGCAACGUUUACGUGCAUCCGGUGGAUUCGUACGUAACUUCGGCGAUCAGUUUCCCAGGCUCGAGUCUGAGAAAUUUUAGUGACUCGAUCACAUUCUCCUAACCCGUGGAACGAUUCGGAAGUGCAGUGAAUUUGCUGGAGUUGUAACAAGCUAGGCCGAUAGAAAAGUAGUGCGAUAGAUAGCUAGCUUUUGUGACCUUUGUGCGAGAACCUGCGAAGAAAGGCAGCGUGGUCACAAGUUUACUUGUCUCCGGCGGCUUCCCUCGUCCGCGGACAGGAUUGCUGGCCGAGCUACAACCCUGUGGCCAGCCGCCACGCCGUCAACAUCGUGGCAGAAAAACCCCCGGUCGUACCGCAACCUUCGACCGAGCCACUCCAGUCACCUGUGGCCUUUUCGACGUAAACGCCUGGCCGCACCGCAACCUAGUUGCCGCGGCGAUCUUCGUCGACUCGUGAGGAUUCUUCACGAAUCACCGUUCGAAGCUGCCUGGCCCCCAACAACCACGUGGCCCGCAGCGAACGCCUCGAACACGCCGUGACGCUGUCACGGACCGAAGGUCGGCAGACCUGAAGACCGACCACGUGGCAAAUCGAUCGGUUCCCGACGCCUGGUAGGUGAGUCGAUCAUCCGCCACACAACCAUCGUGAUCGCACAACAGCAGCAGUAGCAGGUAGCAGAACUCGCAGAGCAGCAGUCUACGGCGCCGGCAAGGGCGAAGUAGAGGAGAAAGAACGCGCACAACGACGACGACGACGGGCUCGUAAGUACAAACUCUGUGUUAGUUGUCCGUGUGCACAUGUGACGUCCUUUGAACCACAGAGUUCGCAAGCAUGUACAACCCGCGCUAGCCCGCACCGCU
This is a long non-coding RNA of Culex quinquefasciatus (southern house mosquito), 869 nucleotides long. RefSeq lists it as uncharacterized. The transcript has 3 exons. Lineage: Eukaryota; Metazoa; Arthropoda; Insecta; Diptera; Culicidae. The record is from RefSeq and is a predicted model, not a curated record.